Molecule: ribosomal RNA, 451 nt
Filed under: uncultured bacterium
Lineage: Bacteria
Description: bacterial SSU rRNA
Rfam family: Bacterial small subunit ribosomal RNA
Source: RNAcentral
UACGGAAGGCAGCAGGGGGAAUAUUGCACAAUGGGCGCAAGCCUGAUGCAGCCAUGCCGCGUGUAUGAAGAAGGCCUUCGGGUUGUAAAGUACUUUCAGUCGUGAGGAAGGUGUUAAGGUUAAUAACCUUAGCAAUUGACGUUAGCGACAGAAGAAGCACCGGCUAACUCCGUGCCAGCAGCCGCGGUAAUACGGAGGGUGCGAGCGUUAAUCGGAAUUACUGGGCGUAAAGGGCACGCAGGCGGUUAAUUAAGUUGGAUGUGAAAUCCCCGGGCUUAACCUGGGAAUGGCAUUCAAGACUGGUUAGCUAGAGUCUUGUAGAGGGGGUAGAAUUCCAUGUGUAGCGGUGAAAUGCGUAGAGAUGUGGAGGAAUACCGGUGGCGAAGGCGGCCCCUGGACAAAGACUGACGCUCAUGUGCGAAAGCGUGGGGAGCAAACAGGGAUAGAUACC